Nylanderia fulva is the source of this 2186-nucleotide non-coding RNA. Lineage: Eukaryota; Metazoa; Arthropoda; Insecta; Hymenoptera; Formicidae. The record is from RefSeq and is a predicted model, not a curated record.
UCAGUUACGCGCCUCAACUACCGUCUUCGGGUCUUCGGUCGUGUCGGUGGUGGUCCGAAUUUAAGUGAAUUUCGCGAGUGUUUUGCGAUCCUGCCUGGAUCAGAUAGUAUUACUUGCGAUACAGAUCGAGAGGGAAUAAUCGAACGUAAGCAGUAAGGCCCGAACGACGAUGAUGCGAUCGAUCCGUGCACCAAAUGCAUCGGAUAUGCAUUUGCCGGACGCGAGUGUCGGGAGUGCCAUAUAUAUAUAUUAAGUGAUUUGUGUGUUUUAUUUCGGUCGGCUUAAAGUGGAGUAAAUCCACAAGUGUCUGUGUGAAGUGAUAGUGAGCGUGUUGCUGGUGCUUCACCAGUUCAAGGUCAUUGUGGAUUACGAGAAGAAAGCAUUCCGUUUCAAGGUCGAGAUAGAGAGAGGAGAAAUGGCGCCGGCUCUCUUCCGUCUCUUUCUCGUCUGUGGAAAGAUUUGCCAUCGACUUCGAGGAUAAAUCGUGCGAGCAAAGUUGCGUAAUCAAAGUUGCAUCCACGUCGAUGAACGAAUGAAAUCAUGGAGAUUGACAGGGUCGGGAAUUAACGGAUGUUGACGGAGAAGGCGUUAUCGAGUUUAAAGCGACAUUGGAUCCUAAGCUACCACAUGGCAGAAUCCUCUCUGUCCGCUCUUCUGAUUCCGUGAGUGCCGAUGUUUCCUGGCUGAAGGACGUGCGAACAUAAAAUCGCGGAUCGAUGAGGACGGGACUAUUUUGGUCAGGGAUCAUCAGCAGUUGUUGGACAGACGACUUGGCCUUUUUCAAGCACGGUUGGAAAUGCGACGCAUUAGGAUUCGAAGAUCGCGAACGAACGAUCCUCGAAUGUUGAUCACAUUCGGUUGUCCUCGAUGGAGCGGUUUUCGGAUUUAGAUCGGCGGCAGCUUCCACAAUUUCCAUCGGUUCGCCUUCGCAUUUACCUCUACUUCGUCCCGUCAAUUCAACUAGCGACGUCGGGUUGUCGUUGACCGUCCUCGUUGUUGGAUGAGUGUUCGACGCGGAGCUGCUCUCCUCUUCGGCUUUCCCACGUGACGCUUCUCCUCGCGUGACGUUUAUAGAUGCGGGAAUCUGCGCUCCUUCCUUCGCUCCGAGUCGUCGCUUACCCGGAUCCAGAUACGUGGACUUGCCGCUCAUGUUUGGCCCAGUUAUCAGGUGAAAAUUGUACGGGGUCGAGGCGUUCUGCGCUCACAAAGAAUAAUAAGGCGUGAAAAUACAUAGAUUUGCGGAUGACACAUUUUCGACACUCACCACAUCGUUAGCUACGGGUCUCACGUAUUCUGGAUUACUGCUGAUUUGCGCCAACGACAGAACCAGGUCUAAUUCCGCCACAUCGGCGCUCAGUUGAAACAAGCAGCCGACAUGCUGUCUUAUAUCCUCCAGUAAAUAAGUCAACAAUCUGCAAAUCGUUACUAUUUGUUCAUACGAAAUUAAUACAAUUUUAUAACAGGAAGCUUUGCACGAUCAACUCACGUGUUACUCAUCACGUAGAUCUCCUCGCAAGCCUUCUUGCACUGUUUAUUUAACGUCAAUAGAGCUGUUGUGGUCAUCGUAAAGGAUCUCCUGUUCUGUCGCGUCUACGUAAUCGCAAAAAUUAAAAUUAAAAUCUUAGUAAAAUUGUAAUAAAAAUUAAAAUAAAAUUUCGUAAACGAAAUGUCGGCGAUAAAUUACCUGAAUAAAUUCCUCUGGCAAGUCUGAGAUUGCCAUGUUGACAUUUUGCUGUAUCGCAACGUUUAUAUGGUAGCUCAAACUCGUAUUAUAAUCCAAGGAUAAUGGGAGCUUGUAUUUCACGGCUAACUGCUCUACCAUAUCUAUUUAAAGACCCGUCAAAUGAGGAAUAUAUACAUAUAAUUUUUCGAAUAAUUUUAAUAUUAUAUUCUUAUGUAUACUAUAUAUACUUCUCAUGUCGCUAAUUAAUUCGCAAUAAACUUGUCGAGCGACGUCCAACAAUUCGUUGAUAUCAGCUUUUAUAGCGAAGCAUCGCUGCAUACUUGAGGAAGUGCAACCCUUCACGAAUCUCGCAUCCGUGUGUAUCAAUGUCAAAAUCUUGUCCUUUAUAACACGGAAUUCCGAGUUUUGUAAAUUCUGCACGUUCGAGGGAGAAAAUCAUUGUAUCGAUAAGAACGUAAAUAAUCGUAAAAGUAAAAAAUAUAUUGUUAUAUAAAUUAUUAAA